AAUAGAGGAACAAAGGCUAAAACCAUCACGUCCUGUGAUAACGCCUUCGUGACCAACAUCCUGUUGC
Lysinibacillus xylanilyticus is the source of this 67-nucleotide non-coding RNA. The record is from Rfam. Lineage: Bacteria; Bacillati; Bacillota; Bacilli; Caryophanales; Bacillaceae.